RNAcentral lists this ribosomal RNA (477 nucleotides) under uncultured bacterium. RNAcentral's name for it is "bacterial SSU rRNA". It matches the Rfam family "Bacterial small subunit ribosomal RNA", at positions 29 to 530 of the family's 1533-position model. The record is from RNAcentral.
AACGAACGCUGGCGGCAUGCCUAACACAUGCAAGUCGAACGAGACCUUCGGGUCUAGUGGCGCACGGGUGCGUAACACGUGGGAAUUUGCCUCGGGGUAUGGAAUAACUCAGGGAAACUUGAGCUAAUACCAUAUAAUGUCUUCGGACCAAAGAUUUAUCGCCCUGAGAUAAGCCCGCGUAGGAUUAGCUAGUUGGUGGGGUAAAGGCUCACCAAGGCGACGAUCCUUAGCUGGUCUGAGAGGAUGAUCAGCCACACUGGGACUGAGACACGGACCAGACUCCUACGGGAGGCAGCAGUGAGGAAUAUUGGACAAUGGGCGCAAGCCUGAUCCAGCCAUGCCGCGUGCAGGAAGACGGUCCUAUGGAUUGUAAACUGCUUUUAUACAGGAAGAAACACUCCCUCGUGAGGGAACGUUGACGGUACUGUAUGAAUAAGCAUCGGCUAACUCCGUGCCAGCAGCCGCGGUAAUGUGACU